UCGGAUUUCGGGGCGGGCCGACCGGUCUGCCGAUGGGUAUGCACUGGCCGGCGCGUCCUUCCACCCGGAGACCGCGCCUACUCUUAACUGAGCGGGCGCGGGAGACGGGUCUUUUACUUUGAAAAAAUCAGAGUGUUUCAAGCAGGCAGUCGCUCUUGCAUGGAUUAGCAUGGGAUAAUGAAAUAGGACUCUGGUGCUAUUUUGUUGGUUUCGAACACCGGAGUAAUGAUUAACAGGGACAGUCAGGGGCACUCGUAUUCCGCCGAGAGAGGUGAAAUUCUCAGACCAGCGGAAGACGAACCACUGCGAAAGCAUUUGCCAGG
This 323-nucleotide ribosomal RNA is filed under the name Emiliania huxleyi. RNAcentral describes it as "SSU rRNA". The stretch from base 100 to 323 matches the Rfam family "Eukaryotic small subunit ribosomal RNA", at positions 738 to 962 of the family's 1831-position model. The record is from RNAcentral. Lineage: Eukaryota; Haptophyta; Isochrysidales; Noelaerhabdaceae.